Molecule: ribosomal RNA, 508 nt
Filed under: uncultured bacterium
Lineage: Bacteria
Description: partial 16S ribosomal RNA
Rfam family: Bacterial small subunit ribosomal RNA
Source: RNAcentral
GAUGAACGCUAGCUACAGGCUUAACACAUGCAAGUCGAGGGGAAACGACAUCGAAAGCUUGCUUUCGAUGGGCGUCGACCGGCGCACGGGUGAGUAACGCGUAUCCAACCUGCCCACCACUUGGGGAUAACCUUGCGAAAGUAAGACUAAUACCCAAUGAUAUCUCUAGAAGACAUCUGAAAGAGAUUAAAGAUUUAUCGGUGAUGGAUGGGGAUGCGUCUGAUUAGCUUGUUGGCGGGGUAACGGCCCACCAAGGCUACGAUCAGUAGGGGUUCUGAGAGGAAGGUCCCCAACAUUGGAACUGAGACACGGUCCAAACUCCUACGGGAGGCAGCAGUGAGGAAUAUUGGUCAAUGGACGAGAGUCUGAACCAGCCAAGUAGCGUGCAGGAUGACAGCCCUAUGGGUUGUAAACUGCUUUUAUAAGGGAAUAAAGUGAGUCUCGUGAGACUUUUUGCAUGUACCUUAUGAAUAAGGACCGGCCAAUUCCGUGCCAGCCGCCGCCGUAA